UUGAUUGAAUUUUGAUCAUGUACAUUUUGAGUUGAGUUUUGGGGUUCCUACUCAGUGUUGCUGAAUUUUCUUUGUUUUUGAUUUUUAGAGCAACAUCCCUCUAGUACUAAAUCGGAUUCCAAUGGAGAGCGGACCUUCCUCUAUCGCUAGGUAGAGCCGCUUUGAUGAUUCUUGAAGUUAACAUUACUAUGUUUAUUUUUCUAUUUAUGAUUUGAUAAAUAAAUAAAUUAUAAUAAAUAUUUAUGAAUAAUGAAUAAAAUGAUGUUUA
Molecule: long non-coding RNA, 268 nt
Filed under: Musa acuminata (dwarf banana)
Lineage: Eukaryota; Viridiplantae; Streptophyta; Magnoliopsida; Zingiberales; Musaceae
Description: long non-coding RNA (MACU_LNC005872)
Source: RNAcentral